RNAcentral lists this ribosomal RNA (410 nucleotides) under bacterium enrichment culture clone ALO1_GLFRUDD03F6CSH. Its description in RNAcentral is "bacterial SSU rRNA". It matches the Rfam family "Bacterial small subunit ribosomal RNA", at positions 9 to 416 of the family's 1533-position model. The record is from RNAcentral.
GAGUUGAUCGUGGCUCAGAUUGAACGCUGGCGGCAUGCCUUACACAUGCAAGUCGAACGGCAGCACGGGAGCUUGCUCCUGGUGGGCGAGUGGCGAACGGGUGAGUAAUGCAUCGGAACGUAUCCUGGAGUGGGGGAUAACGUAGCGAAAGUUACGCUAAUACCGCAUAUUCUGUGAGCAGGAAAGCGGGGGGACCUUCGGGCCUCGGCGCUCUUGGAGCGGCCGAUGUCGGAUUAGCUAGUUGGUGAGUAAAGGCUCACCAAGGCGACGAUCCGUAGCAGGUCUGAGAGGAUGAUCUGCCACACUGGAACUCGAGACACGGUCCAGACUCCUACGGGAGGCAGCAGUGGGGAAUUUUGGACAAUGGGGGCAACCCUGAUCCAGCCCAUGCCGCGUGAGUGAAGAAGGCC